Molecule: ribosomal RNA, 1372 nt
Filed under: uncultured bacterium
Lineage: Bacteria
Description: bacterial SSU rRNA
Rfam family: Bacterial small subunit ribosomal RNA
Source: RNAcentral
GAUGAACGCUGGCGGCGUGCCUAAUACAUGCAAGUCGAGCGAACGGACGAGAAGCUUGCUUCUCUGAUGUUAGCGGCGGACGGGUGAGUAACACGUGGAUAACCUACCUAUAAGACUGGGAUAACUUCGGGAAACCGGAGCUAAUACCGGAUAAUAUUUUGAACCGCAUGGUUCAAAAGUGAAAGACGGUCUUGCUGUCACUUAUAGAUGGAUCCGCGCUGCAUUAGCUAGUUGGUAAGGUAACGGCUUACCAAGGCAACGAUGCAUAGCCGACCUGAGAGGGUGAUCGGCCACACUGGAACUGAGACACGGUCCAGACUCCUACGGGAGGCAGCAGUAGGGAAUCUUCCGCAAUGGGCGAAAGCCUGACGGAGCAACGCCGCGUGAGUGAUGAAGGUCUUCGGAUCGUAAAACUCUGUUAUUAGGGAAGAACAUAUGUGUAAGUAACUGUGCACAUCUUGACGGUACCUAAUCAGAAAGCCACGGCUAACUACGUGCCAGCAGCCGCGGUAAUACGUAGGUGGCAAGCGUUAUCCGGAAUUAUUGGGCGUAAAGCGCGCGUAGGCGGUUUUUUAAGUCUGAUGUGAAAGCCCACGGCUCAACCGUGGAGGGUCAUUGGAAACUGGAAAACUUGAGUGCAGAAGAGGAAAGUGGAAUUCCAUGUGUAGCGGUGAAAUGCGCAGAGAUAUGGAGGAACACCUGUGGCGAAGGCGACUUUCUGGUCUGUAACUGACGCUGAUGUGCGAAAGCGUGGGGAUCAAACAGGAUUAGAUACCCUGGUAGUCCACGCCGUAAACGAUGAGUGCUAAGUGUUAGGGGGUUUCCGCCCCUUAGUGCUGCAGCUAACGCAUUAAGCACUCCGCCUGGGGAGUACGACCGCAAGGUUGAAACUCAAAGGAAUUGACGGGGACCCGCACAAGCGGUGGAGCAUGUGGUUUAAUUCGAAGCAACGCGAAGAACCUUACCAAAUCUUGACAUCCUUUGACAACUCUAGAGAUAGAGCUUUCCCCUUCGGGGGACAAAGUGACAGGUGGUGCAUGGUUGUCGUCAGCUCGUGUCGUGAGAUGUUGGGUUAAGUCCCGCAACGAGCGCAACCCUUAAGCUUAGUUGCCAUCAUUAAGUUGGGCACUCUAAGUUGACUGCCGGUGACAAACCGGAGGAAGGUGGGGAUGACGUCAAAUCAUCAUGCCCCUUAUGAUUUGGGCUACACACGUGCUACAAUGGGCAAUACAAAGGGCAGCGAAACCGCGAGGUCAAGCAAAUCCCAUAAAGUUGUUCUCAGUUCGGAUUGUAGUCUGCAACUCGACUACAUGAAGCUGGAAUCGCUAGUAAUCGUAGAUCAGCAUGCUACGGUGAAUACGUUCCCGGGUCU